CCCGGACUCUGUUUUGCCUACUGCUUCAGCAGCAGAGGGUCUCCGUCAGUUUCUACACAGGAGGCAGAGAAAAUGUGUGCAUUUCAGCUGCAUGCCAAUAGACUUUAGCUGGUGGUGCUGAGCUACACAAGGUGGGGGUGAUCCUGAGCCCGGUGUUUAUUUGGAUGGUGAAACUCCAGGGACUUCUGUCGAACAGACCGUUCCCCAUCCAGGCGAGACCGCUGAGAGUGCAGAGUUCAGCAUCUAGAACAACAUCUUCCUGGACAAGCGUCUCUCUGCUGGGCGGAGGGCCUGGAGCACAGGAAUGAGACGAAAGAUCUGCUUCGAGGAGACCGUUUCAAGGAUCUGGGUUCCUCCUGGUGUUCAAUUUCCCAAAGAACAUGCUUACUGAGGCUGUGAGAAGAAAUCCUUUCCCUUGAUUUCUGAUGUAGAAAUACAGCUAAAGCAGGGUUAAGUGUCAUUGCCCUUGUGGCUACUUU
Molecule: long non-coding RNA, 479 nt
Organism: Alexandromys fortis (reed vole)
Lineage: Eukaryota; Metazoa; Chordata; Mammalia; Rodentia; Cricetidae
Exons: 3
Source: RefSeq, a predicted model, not a curated record